This 509-nucleotide ribosomal RNA is filed under the name uncultured bacterium. RNAcentral's name for it is "bacterial SSU rRNA". It matches the Rfam family "Bacterial small subunit ribosomal RNA", at positions 9 to 512 of the family's 1533-position model. The record is from RNAcentral.
GAGUUUGAUCAUGGCUCAGAUUGAACGCUGGCGGCAGGCCUAACACAUGCAAGUCGAGCGGUAGAGAGAAGCUUGCUUCUCUUGAGAGCGGCGGACGGGUGAGUAAUGCCUAGGAAUCUGCCUGGUAGUGGGGGAUAACGCUCGGAAACGGACGCUAAUACCGCAUACGUCCUACGGGAGAAAGCAGGGGACCUUCGGGCCUUGCGCUAUCAGAUGAGCCUAGGUCGGAUUAGCUAGUUGGUGAGGUAAUGGCUCACCAAGGCGACGAUCCGUAACUGGUCUGAGAGGAUGAUCAGUCACACUGGAACUGAGACACGGUCCAGACUCCUACGGGAGGCAGCAGUGGGGAAUAUUGGACAAUGGGCGAAAGCCUGAUCCAGCCAUGCCGCGUGUGUGAAGAAGGUCUUCGGAUUGUAAAGCACUUUAAGUUGGGAGGAAGGGCAGUAAAUUAAUACUUUGCUGUUUUGACGUUACCGUACAGAAUAAGCACCGGCUAACUCUGUGCCAGC